This 465-nucleotide ribosomal RNA is filed under the name Vreelandella stevensii. Its description in RNAcentral is "partial 16S ribosomal RNA". It matches the Rfam family "Bacterial small subunit ribosomal RNA", at positions 338 to 795 of the family's 1533-position model. Lineage: Bacteria; Pseudomonadati; Pseudomonadota; Gammaproteobacteria; Oceanospirillales; Halomonadaceae. The record is from RNAcentral.
CCUACGGGGGGCUGCAGUGGGGAAUAUUGGACAAUGGGGGCAACCCUGAUCCAGCCAUGCCGCGUGUGUGAAGAAGGCCCUCGGGUUGUAAAGCACUUUCAGUGAGGAAGAACGCCUGGUGGUUAAUACCCAUCAGGAAAGACAUCACUCACAGAAGAAGCACCGGCUAACUCCGUGCCAGCAGCCGCGGUAAUACGGAGGGUGCGAGCGUUAAUCGGAAUUACUGGGCGUAAAGCGCGCGUAGGUGGCUUGAUAAGCCGGUUGUGAAAGCCCCGGGCUCAACCUGGGAACGGCAUCCGGAACUGUCAAGCUAGAGUGCGGGAGAGGAAGGUGGAAUUCCCGGUGUAGCGGUGAAAUGCGUAGAGAUCGGGAGGAAUACCAGUGGCGAAGGCGGCCUUCUGGACCGACACUGACACUGAGGUGCGAAAGCGUGGGUAGCAAACAGGAUUAGAUACCCUGGUAGUC